This 3555-nucleotide long non-coding RNA is filed under the name Ricinus communis (castor bean). Its description in RNAcentral is "long non-coding RNA (RCOM_LNC000607)". Lineage: Eukaryota; Viridiplantae; Streptophyta; Magnoliopsida; Malpighiales; Euphorbiaceae. The record is from RNAcentral.
CUCCGGAUGAUCGGGUGUCAGAUCGGAAAAUCGGAAGCGGGGAUCGUCAUCAGCGCGUCGUUGUGAGUCCGAUGGUGUGUUCGGAUCGUCGAUCGGACUCCGGCGGCUGGAGGCGAGUCGACCGAGCGACCGAGCGUCUUGAUGAUCUGUCUGUUCGGCUCGCUCCUACCGAGACACCUAAGCUGAGCUAGGAGGUCGCCUAAUUCUAUUCGUGACUGUUAGUUCUCUCGCGACUCUUAUUCAGUAACCCGACUCCUUCAUCAUCGGGUGAUGUAUUUGAUUUGGUAUGUAAAUUGGUAAAUCUUAGAUUCUCCGCAGUAGUAAUUAGUAUAUGUAUCAGUUGUAAAUUUUCUGAGCUUCGGGUCUCGCCUAGUAUUUUCUGGUAGACCGAAGUAAUUUUGUAAAGUGUAACUAUUAAGAUAAUUUAUGGUUUUAAUAAUAUAAAUUUGAGUUGAGAUUUGUUUAAAUCAGUGAGUGUCAGGCUUACUACGGGUUUCGGUGGCCUUAAGCCUACCCAUUCCCUAGUGCCGGUCACGGGCCCACGGGUGGGGUCGUGACAAAGUUGGUAUCAGAGCUUAGGUUUAGAUUUCCUUCGACCUAAGUUAAGAUUUUUCUUGGUACUGCGGAGUUAGGAUCAUGUAUGUCUUGUUGUUUUCAUUGACUCCAGUGUCUCAGCCUUCACUGUUAGAGAGUCAGUCUUUCCUUUCUUGUAAGCUUGUCCUUGGUGCUGUGCUGAGAAUGUGCCUUGUAGCGAUGGGAGAUCCGAAGCGCGAUAGACUCGUGCUGUUUCUUCAAGUGAUUAGUGCAGUCCGCCUUUAGAAGCUUUGAUUGUUGUUUCGAUGGUGGGCACCGCAGUCAGUUUUAGUGUAGAGCGUGGUUGCAGUCGUGUCAUGGACUGCCUCGUCAUCGCAUCAGGCAUCGUCUUAUUGAGUAGCGCCGAAAGUAGUGCCUGAGAAGUCGAGUAGAUGUCAGAGCUCUAUGGUUGAGUUUUGGUGAUUGUAAGAAGCUUAAGAAAGGUGGCAGGAGUAUUUUCGGACGCUCAGAAUCCAGAGAAACUUAAGCGAACAUUAUUUAUUUUUCUAAGUAGAACAAGUGUUUUAAAAUACAAUAUUGCGCCCAGUCCCGUAAGAAUGCAUUAUGGCAUUUCACUGUUAGGCAUGCAUAAAUUCAUUUUAGGACAUGCAUCAUACAUUGUGCAUUGCAACCCUUGGUGAUAGGGGGCAUCAUCACCCUGGCGCGCGAUAUUGUAGAAUUUUAUAUAAAGAAAAAUGGCUAGAGAUUUUACGAUUUUGUAAAAGUAUUUUUCAAGAUAAUAAAGUUUUUAUCAGUGAUGAUUAUAAAGUAAAUAAAUAAGUAAAUUUUUCAAAGUAAAUAGUGUUAGCUUGAGAAUUCUCUGGAUGACGAGCUGAGUUGCCGUGAGAGUAAGUUUGUGGAGCUGUAGGCCCCAUGUUAGAUAAUAAAGGAUGCUUUUGGAUCUCAGUCAAGGAGGAAUCUUGUGUCAGGAUGGCAUGGUUUAUAUCGGUUGAUGCGAUCAGAUGGAUGUUAUAUCGAGGAUGAUGUGAUGUAGAUGUUAAGGAUUUUUCUGUACGUGCAAGGGGCAUGUCAUCAGGAAGGAAAUUUGGUGAGUGAAUUUUUGGCAGGAUCAGAAUUGGCCCUUCUUGUGUGGAAACCCUUGGUUUUGUCGGCAGGUUAGUGAGGUGGCAUGUAAGUUGGACUUGCCGCCAAGUAUUAGUAAUGUUCUCUGAGGUCAAAUCCAGUUGUUUGUAAGUCUGAGCUGAGGAAGUGUAUUUUCGAUCUUUGCUCGUGUUGGACCCUUAGUGUGUGGAAGCAAGUGAAGAUUUGGUUUCCGAGAAGUAGUAAGUGAGGAUCGCCAGUUUUAUUUAAGGGUUUUACUGAUGAGUCUUGUGGUUUAGUUUAGUUUCUGCCGAGGAAAGUUCUCUAGAAGCCGGGUUGGAGUUGAGAGGUUCCUAAUUAGUUUCAGUCGUAAGUGAAGCCCCUUUUCUUUUAAAAUUCGAGGACGAAUUUUUUUUUUUUAAGAGGGGGAGAAUGUAACACCCGGAAUUUUUAUAUAUUUAAUAAUGAGUUUUUAUUUAAGUUAAUUUUAGUCUCAUUAUUAUUGGGUUUAAUUUAAAAUGAUUAUAUUUUGGUUAUUCAAAUUUUUCCAAAUGCAUAUUUAUAUAAGUAAAAUUAUAUAUUGGAAAAUUAUGGUAGAAUUGUAAAGGAUGUGUUUAUAAAAGAAUUUUGGAAAAAAUUGAUUAUUUAAUUUAAUUGUGUGUUAGGACUAAAUUGGAAAUUUAUUUUGGAAUAAGGAUUGAAAGUAUAAUUUUAUUUUUAUGGGGUUUUAAUGGAAAUUUGUGAGUUUGGUAUUUUCGUAAAUAAAUAUGUCGGUCAGGGGUAUUUUUGUAAUUAUGUAUUUUCAGUAAUUCUAAUUUGGCCCAAAAUUAAAUAGUUAAGGGCUUAAUUGUAAGGCUAAAAAGAAGUUUGGGGGUUAAAUUGGAAUUCUGCGGGAUGAAAUUGUAAGUAAUUAAGAAAGUUGAGGGACCAAAUUGUAAUAAGGAAAAGUUCGGGGGCCUAAUGUCGAUAUUGAAAGAAAAAGAAGUCGGGGAAGAAGAAAGGAGGAGAGAGAGAGAGUGCGGCGUCGGGAAGAGAGAGAAGGGGACGUUGCAGGCGUCGGCGGCGACCGUCGAAGGCGUGGAGCAUUGGCCGACGGAGCGGCGUGCGCUGGCGAGCGCAGCAGCGACGGCAGCAGCGGCUCCAGCGGCAGCGUGAGGCGGCGGAUUCGCGCGUGUGGCAGCGGCUUCCAGGCGUGUUUCCGGCCGUUUCCGGCGUUGUUGGCGGCCGAGUUGGGUGGCGAUCGGCUCCUCUCGGCGAGGGCUUUCUUUUGGUAGCAGCGGCGACGCCUGUGGUGGCCGGAGACGGAAGAUCUGGUGGAGAGAGAAAAUGGUGGCAGCCGGCGUGUUUGGGCUUUUCCGGCCAGCUCCGGCGGAGGAUGGAUGAUCGGAGGAUGUAUCCCGACUCUCCUCAGCUCAAGCUUCGCGAUGGCACUAGUUUCGUGGCGAUCGGGUUUCGUUUGCGAAUCGACGGUCGAGAUCGUCCGCAAAUCUCUCCGGAUGAUCGGGUGUCAGAUCGGAAAAUCGGAAGCGGGGAUCGUCAUCAGCGCGUCGUUGUGAGUCCGAUGGUGUGUUCGGAUCGUCGAUCGGACUCCGGCGGCUGGAGGCGAGUCGACCGAGCGACCGAGCAUCUUGAUGAUCUGUCUGUUCGGCUCGCUCCUACCGAGACACCUAAGCUGAGCUAGGAGGUCGCCUAAUUCUAUUCGUGACUGUUAGUUCUCUCGCGACUCUUAUUCAGUAACCCGACUCCUUCAUCAUCGGGUGAUGUAUUUGAUUUGGUAUGUAAAUUGGUAAAUCUUAGAUUCUCCGCAGUAGUAAUUAGUAUAUGUAUCAGUUGUAAAUUUUCUGAGCUUCGGGUCUCGCCUAGUAUUUUCUGGUAGACCGAAGUAAUUUUGUAAAGUGUAACUAUUAAGAUAAUUUAUGGUUUUAAUAAUAUAAAUUUGAG